GCGCCCGUAGCUCAGCUGGAUAGAGCGUUGCCCUCCGAAGGCAAAGGUCACACGUUCGAAUCGUGUCGGGCGCGCCA
RNAcentral lists this transfer RNA (77 nucleotides) under Stutzerimonas stutzeri. Its description in RNAcentral is "Pseudomonas stutzeri tRNA-Arg". It matches the Rfam family "tRNA". Rfam says of the family: Transfer RNA (tRNA) molecules are approximately 80 nucleotides in length. RNAcentral also lists the same sequence under 127 other names. Lineage: Bacteria; Pseudomonadati; Pseudomonadota; Gammaproteobacteria; Pseudomonadales; Pseudomonadaceae. The record is from RNAcentral.